RNAcentral lists this transfer RNA (88 nucleotides) under Lewinellaceae bacterium. RNAcentral's name for it is "tRNA-Phe". It matches the Rfam family "tRNA". From Rfam's summary of the family: Transfer RNA (tRNA) molecules are approximately 80 nucleotides in length. Lineage: Bacteria; Pseudomonadati; Bacteroidota; Saprospiria; Saprospirales; Lewinellaceae. The record is from RNAcentral.
GACCCUGUAGUUCAAGGGAUAGAAUAUCCCGCUAAAAAAAAGCGGGACUAAACUUUUGAUCCAGGUUCGAAUCCUGGCGGGAUCACCA